Molecule: ribosomal RNA, 482 nt
Filed under: uncultured bacterium
Lineage: Bacteria
Description: bacterial SSU rRNA
Rfam family: Bacterial small subunit ribosomal RNA
Source: RNAcentral
GUACUUACUCCUACGGGAGGCAGCAGUGGGGAAUUUUGGACAAUGGGGGAAACCCUGAUCCAGCAAUGCCGCGUGAGUGAAGAAGGCCUUCGGGUUGUAAAGCCCUUUUGUCAGGGAAGAAACGGUAGUAGCUAAUAUCUAUUACUAAUGACGGUACCUGAAGAAUAAGCACCGGCUAACUACGUGCCAGCAGCCGCGGUAAUACGUAGGGUGCAAGCGUUAAUCGGAAUUACUGGGCGUAAAGCGUGCGGAGGCGGUUGUGUAAGUCAGAUGUGAAAUACCCGGGCUAAACCUGGGAAUUGCAGUUGAGACUGCACGGCUAGAGUGUGUGAGAGGGAGGGUAGAAUUCCGCGUGUAGCAGUGAAAUGCGUAGAUAUGUGGAGGAAUACCGAUGGCGAAGGCAGCCCCCUGGGAUAACACUGACGCUCAUGCACGAAAGCGUGGGGAGCAAACAGGAUUAGAAACCCCUGUAGUCCAGGCAU